RNAcentral lists this ribosomal RNA (253 nucleotides) under uncultured bacterium. Its description in RNAcentral is "partial 16S ribosomal RNA". It matches the Rfam family "Bacterial small subunit ribosomal RNA", at positions 524 to 776 of the family's 1533-position model. The record is from RNAcentral.
UACGGGGGGAGCAAGCGUUGUUCGGAAUCACUGGGCGUAAAGGGAGUCUAGGCGGUUUGGUAAGUGGGAUGUGAAAUGCCCGGGCUCACCCCGGGACCUGCAUCCCAAACUGCUGAGCUUGAGUACAGGAGAGGGUGGGGGAAUUCCAGGUGUAGCGGUGAAAUGCGUAGAUAUCUGGAGGAACACCGGUGGCGAAGGCGGCGUCCUGGACCAACACUGACACUGAGGAGCGAAAGCCAGGGGAGCAAACGGG